This 287-nucleotide long non-coding RNA is filed under the name Marmota monax (woodchuck). Lineage: Eukaryota; Metazoa; Chordata; Mammalia; Rodentia; Sciuridae. The record is from RNAcentral.
AGAAAUGUCGCCCUUUCUGCGCCAUCUAAGCUGUCUGGAUUUGCAAAUGUUCUAUGAUAUUAAAUUAUUUUCAUCUUAUAUUUUUUUCUUUGCAAUGCUGGGGGUUCAACCCAGGGCCUCAUGCAUGCUAUGCUAGGCAAGUGCUCCACUGCCAGCCAUAUCAUUAGCCCUCAUCUAUUUUUAUCUGCAUGUUAUUUAUUACCCAAUAUAUUAGGAUAAUGAGCCUAUGAGCAAAUAAAAUCUCAAUUCUCCACCUUGUGUCUCUUUUUUGAUGGGUUUUAAGUAGC